AAAUUGAAGAGUUUGAUCAUGGCUCAGAUUGAACGCUGGCGGCAGGCCUAACACAUGCAAGUCGAGCGGUAGCACAGAGAGCUUGCUCUCGGGUGACGAGCGGCGGACGGGUGAGUAAUGUCUGGGAAACUGCCUGAUGGAGGGGGAUAACUACUGGAAACGGUAGCUAAUACCGCAUAACGUCGCAAGACCAAAGUGGGGGACCUUCAGGCCUCAUGCCAUCAGAUGUGCCCAGAUGGGAUUAGCUAGUAGGUGGGGUAAUGGCUCACCUAGGCGACGAUCCCUAGCUGGUCUGAGAGGAUGACCAGCCACACUGGAACUGAGACACGGUCCAGACUCCUACGGGAGGCAGCAGUGGGGAAUAUUGCACAAUGGGCGCAAGCCUGAUGCAGCCAUGCCGCGUGUAUGAAGAAGGCCUUCGGGUUGUAAAGUACUUUCAGCGAGGAGGAAGGCAUUAAGGUUAAUAACCUUGGUGAUUGACGUUACUCGCAGAAGAAGCACCGGCUAACUCCGUGCCAGCAGCCGCGGUAAUACGGAGGGUGCAAGCGUUAAUCGGAAUUACUGGGCGUAAAGCGCACGCAGGCGGUCUGUCAAGUCGGAUGUGAAAUCCCCGGGCUCAACCUGGGAACUGCAUUCGAAACUGGCAGGCUAGAGUCUUGUAGAGGGGGGUAGAAUUCCAGGUGUAGCGGUGAAAUGCGUAGAGAUCUGGAGGAAUACCGGUGGCGAAGGCGGCCCCCUGGACAAAGACUGACGCUCAGGUGCGAAAGCGUGGGGAGCAAACAGGAUUAGAUACCCUGGUAGUCCACGCCGUAAACGAUGUCGACUUGGAGGUUGUGCCCUUGAGGCGUGGCUUCCGGAGCUAACGCGUUAAGUCGACCGCCUGGGGAGUACGGCCGCAAGGUUAAAACUCAAAUGAAUUGACGGGGGCCCGCACAAGCGGUGGAGCAUGUGGUUUAAUUCGAUGCAACGCGAAGAACCUUACCUACUCUUGACAUCCAGAGAACUUAGCAGAGAUGCUUUGGUGCCUUCGGGAACUCUGAGACAGGUGCUGCAUGGCUGUCGUCAGCUCGUGUUGUGAAAUGUUGGGUUAAGUCCCGCAACGAGCGCAACCCUUAUCCUUUGUUGCCAGCGAUUCGGUCGGGAACUCAAAGGAGACUGCCAGUGAUAAACUGGAGGAAGGUGGGGAUGACGUCAAGUCAUCAUGGCCCUUACGAGUAGGGCUACACACGUGCUACAAUGGCAUAUACAAAGAGAAGCGACCUCGCGAGAGCAAGCGGACCUCAUAAAGUAUGUCGUAGUCCGGAUUGGAGUCUGCAACUCGACUCCAUGAAGUCGGAAUCGCUAGUAAUCGUAGAUCAGAAUGCUACGGUGAAUACGUUCCCGGGCCUUGUACACACCGCCCGUCACACCAUGGGAGUGGGUUGCAAAAGAAGUAGGUAGCUUAACCUUCGGGAGGGCGCUUACCACUUUGUGAUUCAUGACUGGGGUGAAGUCGUAACAAGGUAACCGUAGGGGAACCUGCGGUUGGAUCACCUCCUUACCUUAAAGAA
RNAcentral lists this ribosomal RNA (1550 nucleotides) under Klebsiella aerogenes. Its description in RNAcentral is "bacterial SSU rRNA". It matches the Rfam family "Bacterial small subunit ribosomal RNA". The record is from RNAcentral. Lineage: Bacteria; Pseudomonadati; Pseudomonadota; Gammaproteobacteria; Enterobacterales; Enterobacteriaceae.